CUCUGCCUGCGUAGACCCAGACUGUCUGUGUUAGUGAUUAUUACAUGUUCUAACACCUAUUUCAUGUCAUAAAAAGGACACAAAAAGGGCAAUGAAACUGGGGUUCUUGGCUGAGCCAGGUAGUCAGUGCUUUGAAGCUCAGUUAGGGCUUGUCUACAAGACAAAUGUCUGCCAAGAAGAUACUUCACUUGGUGGACUGAGGAGUCUCCUAGUUAAAAACAGGGGGGUGGGGUUGAGGGGUCAGGUUCAUAAGCUGUUUCAAUAACCCUGCCUCUGUGCCAAACUUCGAAUGCAGCUUGGUAUCUUUUGCUCACAUUGCACUCCAGCCCAGCUCUCAGGUGCAAAUCCUGGGAAAGUGAAGGCUCAAGAAAAACUGUUUUACUGAAAAUUCAGGAAGAUGUUGAAAGCAUAAAACGCUCCUGAAACUUGAGGAAUUGUAUAAUCACCGCUUUAAGAUCAUAUUUUUAUAAUCAAAGCUCAAUGGAGAAGGAAACUGAGUCACAUGACCACUUGCCGGAGUCACAUCAGAAGUCAAAGAUGGUUCCAAGGACUAAAGCUGCCUCUGCUAUUGCCUCCACCCUACCUGCACUGCUGAGCAUGCAACCUUCCUCAGACACCACCUGGCAAAGAUGGAAAUACCUUCAGUCCUGCCAGAUCUUCAGUCUUGUCACUACAGCUUGAAGACCCUGCCUCACUGGGGAGGAAGCUGCCCUGAGCUCCUCCUGCCCCCAAGCGGCCUGUGGAGAGCUGCUGCUUCCCUCUGAAGACCGUGAAUUGUAAGCCUGACUCAGUGAACUGCCUCAGGUUUCCUUUUUCUCCUCUUCCUCAGCUUUUUCCUACCCCAAAGGCCCUCUUCAAGGGCUCACAACAGGAUUCAGGAGUCUUCUUACUGGGCCACCCAGACCCAACUGGAAGGCCUCACUAAGAUGACCAAGACCCAGCCUCCACUCCAAACUUGCUUCUGUAGCUCCACCUGAGAGAAAGAAGGCCUUUCAUUUUGCAGGUUUUCUGGCAUGAAUUAAGACACAAACCUGUGUACAUAUGAGUGUAGAGUUUGUUCUUGCCUUGCGUCACCAUAGCAAUCGGCCCUGGCCACUAAUGGUUCGUCACUCCUGGUGCCUCUCUUCAUGCCUCUCCCCGGUACCCAUCCUGCCUCAGGAAGGACCAAGCCCUGCAGCCUGCUUUACCCUGGGGGCCAGCACUCCCCACUGUCACACACACUUCCGGGCUGAACAG
RNAcentral lists this long non-coding RNA (1236 nucleotides) under Capra hircus (goat). RNAcentral describes it as "lncRNA (ENSCHIG00000006868.1)". Lineage: Eukaryota; Metazoa; Chordata; Mammalia; Artiodactyla; Bovidae. The record is from RNAcentral.